RNAcentral lists this ribosomal RNA (345 nucleotides) under uncultured bacterium. RNAcentral describes it as "bacterial SSU rRNA". It matches the Rfam family "Bacterial small subunit ribosomal RNA", at positions 338 to 680 of the family's 1533-position model. The record is from RNAcentral.
CCUACGGGAGGCAGCAGUAAGGAAUAUUGGUCAAUGGAGGCAACUCUGAACCAGCCAUGCCGCGUGCAGGAAGACUGCCCUAUGGGUUGUAAACUGCUUUUAUCCGGGAAUAAACCUGCUUACGUGUAAGUAGCUGAAUGUACCGGAAGAAUAAGGAUCGGCUAACUCCGUGCCAGCAGCCGCGGUAAUACGGAGGAUCCAAGCGUUAUCCGGAUUUAUUGGGUUUAAAGGGUGCGUAGGCGGCCUGUUAAGUCAGGGGUGAAAGACGGUAGCUCAACUAUCGCAGUGCCCUUGAUACUGAUGGGCUUGAAUGGACUAGAGGUAGGCGGAAUGAGACAAGUAGCG